AGCUGCCUGCCCUGCUGGUGAUUAUAUGAAAGAGUUAUUCCGACUAGCAUGAGUUUAGGGAGCCAGUGUAAGGGCGCUCAGAGAGCAUGCCGCAUGCUGCGGAAGCCCAACGCGUUCUUUUCGGCACCCACCUGUGAAAGCAGGGACUUAACUCUUUUGUGCACACCGCAAGGGCGGGUUUGAU
RNAcentral lists this non-coding RNA (184 nucleotides) under Nitrospirota bacterium. Its description in RNAcentral is "Nitrospirae bacterium (sediment metagenome) 6S RNA". It matches the Rfam family "6S / SsrS RNA". Rfam says of the family: E. coli 6S RNA was the first non coding RNA to be sequenced, but its function was unknown until recently. The record is from RNAcentral. Lineage: Bacteria; Pseudomonadati; Nitrospirota.